GAAGAUGCUUCUCAAUUAACAAUUUGGAGUUUUGAGGCGUAGAUAUGGCAAUCGUACUUGCGUAGCAGAUUGAGUUCAAAAUCCUAAUGCUAACAUGCGUUAUUGAAUACAGCCUGCAGAUGAGCUUUUCAUUUUAUUAUUCUUCAAGGGCAGGUUCCUUUCUUCUUGGGUAGCUUGAAUUUACAUCUCCUUUUCUCAUCUUAUCUGGACAUAGAUAUUAGUGGUAGCUGCAUGUCUCCCCCUUUUAAGAAGGGCUUAGUUCAAUUUGCUAUUUAGGUAUACUGGUUCUUCUUAUGUUUCCUGUUGCUAGUUUCUGCAAGUAACGUACUCUUUUAAAAAGUAAUUAAUAUGAUAAGUUCAAUAUAAAAGAGUACGUUACUUGCAGAAACUAG
RNAcentral lists this unclassified non-coding RNA (392 nucleotides) under Hevea brasiliensis (rubber tree). Lineage: Eukaryota; Viridiplantae; Streptophyta; Magnoliopsida; Malpighiales; Euphorbiaceae. The record is from RNAcentral.